This 373-nucleotide ribosomal RNA is filed under the name uncultured organism. RNAcentral describes it as "partial 16S ribosomal RNA". It matches the Rfam family "Bacterial small subunit ribosomal RNA", at positions 527 to 896 of the family's 1533-position model. The record is from RNAcentral.
GUAGGUGGCAAGCGUUGUCCGGAAUUAUUGGGCGUAAAGCGCGCGCAGGCGGUUCUUUAAGUCUGAUGUGAAAGCCCACGGCUCAACCGUGGAGGGUCAUUGGAAACUGGAGAACUUGAGUACAGAAGAGGGAAGCGGAAUUCCACGUGUAGCGGUGAAAUGCGUAGAGAUGUGGAGGAACACCAGUGGCGAAGGCGGCUUUCUGGUCUGUAACUGACGCUGAGGCGCGAAAGCGUGGGGAGCAAACAGGGAUUAGAUACCCUGGUAGUCCACGCCGUAAACGAUGAGUGCUAAGUGUUAGGGGGUUUCCGCCCCCUUAGUGCUGCAGCUAACGCAUUAAGCACUCCGCCUGGGGAGUACGGCCGCAAGGCUG